RNAcentral lists this ribosomal RNA (556 nucleotides) under uncultured bacterium. Its description in RNAcentral is "bacterial SSU rRNA". It matches the Rfam family "Bacterial small subunit ribosomal RNA", at positions 36 to 585 of the family's 1533-position model. The record is from RNAcentral.
UUUAGGCGGCUACUGACUUGCAUGUCAGUCGGACGGCCGCGCUUCCUUCUGCCUGCCAGUGAGUGACGAAUGAGUGAGUAAUCCAUCCGAGCCCGGCCUGGCGGGAGAACUAAUUAGACGAAAGAUUAAUACCUACCACAAACUACCUGAGGGUGAAAGCGACCGACCGGACUGCCUCGAUCGAUACGACCGAUCUAUGACUGACUAGCUGGUGGGGGGGGUGACUGCCUACGAAAGCAACAAUCACUGGCUGGACAGAAAGAACAAUCACCCUGGCUGUGACUGACACACCGCACUCACUCCUACGGGAGGCAUGGGGAAUUAAUUAUGAUGAAUGCAACCCACCCUCAUCCAUGCCUGCCGUGUGAGUAAAGACUGCCUUCUGUAUGUAAAUUUUUUCUGUCCAGAAAUAAACGUGGCUGGUAAACACCCUCGAUCAAUGACCGGGACGAAAGAAUAACCGCUAACUACCUGCCUGCCACCGCCCGAAUACAUACGUAGGGAGCGAUAAUCAAUCUUACUGGCUGUGAGGAAAGCGCGCGCAGGUUGUUUGAAA